UGCGGAAAGAAGCAACAGCCGCUCCCCCGGAGCCCAGAAAAGUGGACGCCGCGUCCCGGCCGCCCGCCUGCGCCGGGGAUGCGGCGGCGGCGGCGGCUAACGGUCCAGCGAGGCGGCAGGGGCGGCGGGAGCCGCUAGGCGGAGAGACCAGUGAUGGAGCGCUACUUUAAAUUUACAUGCCGGCGAUGUAAAUGGCCGAAAGUGACUUUUCAUCAUCCUAAAUGAGAGGAUGAAAUUCAUCCUGGUUGGAAUUCACGGGGCUUACUGCAUCUGAGGAUGGACGUCUUUCAACAACUCUGAAACCUUCUCUGUUUGGACAGUGCCUCUUCCACACCCUGUUUUCUCCCUCUGGAACUCAAAUUAGACAUAUGUUAAAGCUUCCACCUCCACUCCCUUCCCCCUGAAACUCUCUUUCCCAUUUCCUGUCCCUCCUCCUCUCCAGAUUGUUUUCAUUUCUUUGGGUUUAUCUGCCAUUCACUUUUUCCUCUCCGAAUCAACUGCAUCUAAUCUGCUACAAAGGCAGUUCAUUGAGUUUAUUAUAUUCACUUUAAGCCUAUUAAAUGAGUUAUUCUGGGCCA
Long non-coding RNA from Physeter macrocephalus (sperm whale), 578 nucleotides. RefSeq lists it as uncharacterized. Lineage: Eukaryota; Metazoa; Chordata; Mammalia; Artiodactyla; Physeteridae. The record is from RefSeq and is a predicted model, not a curated record. The transcript has 3 exons.